Molecule: ribosomal RNA, 492 nt
Filed under: uncultured bacterium
Lineage: Bacteria
Description: partial 16S ribosomal RNA
Rfam family: Bacterial small subunit ribosomal RNA
Source: RNAcentral
AGUGAACGCUGGCGGUAGGCCUAACACAUGCAAGUCGAACGGCAGCACAGUAAGAGCUUGCUCUUACGGGUGGCGAGUGGCGGACGGGUGAGGAAUACAUCGGAAUCUACUUUUUCGUAGGGGAUAACGUAGGGAAACUUACGCUAAUACCGCAUACGACCUACGGGUGAAAGCAGGGGAUCUUCGGACCUUGCGCGAUUGAAUGAGCCGAUGUCGGAUUAGCUAGUUGGCGGGGUAAAGGCCCACCAAGGCGACGAUCCGUAGCUGGUCUGAGAGGAUGAUCAGCCACACGGGAACUGAGACACGGUCCAGACUCCUACGGGAGGCAGCAGUGGGGAAUAUUGGACAAUGGGCGCAAGCCUGAUCCAGCCAUACCGCGUGGGUGAAGAAGGACUUCGGGUUGUAAAGCCCUUUUGUUGGGAAAGAAAAGCAGCAGGUUAAUACCCCGCUGUUCUGACGGUACCCAAAGAAUAAGCACCGGCUAACUUCGUG